AUUUAUUUAAAAACUGACUAUGCCCAGAUUUUGGAACAGUAUAAAUGUAAAUUUUGUCAUCAGUUACUCUCAUUUCUUUUCAGACCUGUUUGGCUUUCUUUCACAGCUGACCUUCAUUGUAUGGAUAAAAACAUUUGAAACCAUCUUCAAAAUAUCUUAUUUGAUGUUCUGCAGAAUAAAGAAAGUCAUACAGGUUUGGAACAACAAGAGGUUUUGUCCAUGGUGUGCAUUAAAAGACCUGCAGCUGAGGUUAUAGAUACACUAAGAGAAGAAUAUGAACCCAUUGUUGCCCCUGAUUUGGAAGCUGAAGUCUCUGAUAGUGAUGGCCCAGAAUGCCACCAUGGCCCAGAUGUGACAGAGGGUCAGAAAACUGUCCUCACAGACUUUAGUGAGGAGGAUAGUGAAGAUCGUUUGAGUCGAUGGAGUAAAGGAGACUCUUAUUGGAGCAAAUAUCCUCCUCAAAGCGAAAUCAGGACCACCUCACAGAGCUGUCCAGGGCCUGCAUCAGGGUCUCCAGUAGAGACGGCUAAACAUGCCUGGGAACAUUUUAUAAGUGAAAACAUCAUUGAUGAGAUCCUGCAAUGCAACAAUCUGGGUGGACUGAGAGCAGCGUUAGCAAAAGGCAAAGUGUGGCAAAAGAUCACUAAAGAAGAGCUAAAAGCCUUUAUUGGUCUGAGUCUUCUCAUCGGUGUAGAGAGAAAUUGCAGUGUCCCAAUCUGGGAACUGUUUAUGGAUCCGUUACAGAACCCACUGUAUGAAGCUACCAUGUCUGCUGGUAGAUACCAGGAUCUUCACAGAUUCCUGCGAUUUGAUAACAAGAAAACCAGAAUCGUAAGAGAGGCAUCAGACCACAUGGCAGCCUUCUGAAAUGCGUGGGACCUGUUCAUGAUCAACCGUAGGAAAAUGUUCAUCUGCAGGGAUUGUUUCACUGUGGGUGAGCAGCUUGUGCCAUUCCAGGGAAGAUGCAAGUUUCUGCAACACUUGCCAAGCCACCCAACUGAGAGUGACAUAAAAAUCUUUUGGAUGUGUGAGGCUGAGGUCCCCUAUGCUGUUGAUGGUGUCAUCUACACAGGCAGACAGCCAGGAGAUGAGCCUGACGAGAACCUUGCAGAGAACACUGUCUUGAGGUUGUCCAGUGGACUUCAGCAAAAAGGUCUCAACAUUAAAAUGGACAGCUACUUCACCAGUGUCCCUCUGGCAGAGAAGCAUUUUGAGACAAAUUAUCAUGGUUGGGACCCUUCACCAUAAGAAUCUACAUGUCCCACCAAUCCAUGUCACGAGCACUACAUACCUCCGAGUUUGGUUUUUGUGGCAAAGUAUUCAUGGUAAGCUAUGUGCCAAAACUAAAAAAGCUUGUGAUUUUGUUGAGUACAAUGCAUACCAGUAAUGUGCUGAAUGAAACAAGUGUUUAAAAUAAGCCAGAGGUCAUUCAGUACUACAGCCGCACCAAAGGAGGAGUCAACAGUGUUAAGCAAAUGGCUGAAAAUUAUACCUGAAAGCGUCAAACAAAGAGAUGGUCUAUGCUGCUUUGGUAUAACAUGUUGGAUAUUGCCAUUGUAAACUCCUAUUCCAUUUUCAUUGCUUAGCACCCUAGCUUCAUAGUAGGUGCUCAUAACACCCAACAGUUGUUCAUAAAAGAGCUGGUGAAAGAGCUUGUAGUGCCUCAGAUUCAUAGGCACGGAGAAGAAAGCCCUGGAUUAUCCAUGAACAUCCUUGAGGCCAUGGACAGAUGUGGGAUGGCCACAUCAAUGUCAGCUGUCAAUUCUGUGCUCCAAGAACAGAGCUGUCAGAACAGAAUAAGAAAAAGAUGUUAUUACUGUACAUCUGGAAGAGACAGAAAAGUGACCAAGUUCUGUAGUUAGUCGCCCUUUCUGCAAAGAUCACAGUCACAUGGUGGUUAUUUGCUACCAGUGCAUGCCUUAAGACCCACACAGAAUUUCUAUAUUUCUUUUCUAUUGAUAAUGACUGUACUGCUGACAAGUUCGAUUUCUAAAGGAUUUUUUAAAAGCAGUUAAAUUUGUUAAUUACUUGAAUUGAAUUAAUCUUUGAUUUUUAAUUAUCUUUAAUUGUACAAUGUAAAUUUGAUAUCCAUGUUUUUAGAUAUAAUGUUGAAUUCAUAGAUAUUUUAUCAUUUUUGUGCAUUAAACUUGAUUGAACAUUAAAAUUGAGUUCUUUCCUAAA
Cyprinus carpio (common carp) is the source of this 2181-nucleotide long non-coding RNA. RefSeq lists it as uncharacterized. The record is from RefSeq and is a predicted model, not a curated record. NCBI's taxonomy places the organism in Eukaryota, Metazoa, Chordata, Actinopteri, Cypriniformes, Cyprinidae. The transcript is spliced from 3 exons.